This is a ribosomal RNA of 868 nucleotides. It matches the Rfam family "Eukaryotic large subunit ribosomal RNA", at positions 51 to 933 of the family's 3401-position model.
CGGAGGAAAAGAAACCAACAGGGAUUGCCUCAGUAACGGCGAGUGAAGCGGCAACAGCUCAAAUUUGAAAUCUGACCCCUUCGGGGCCCGAGUUGUAAUUUGUAGAGGGUGUUUCGGGCGCGGCGCCGGUCUAAGUUCCUUGGAACAGGACGUCAUAGAGGGUGAGAAUCCCGUAUGUGACCGGCGAUCAAGCCCAUGUGAAGCCCCUUCGACGAGUCGAGUUGUUUGGGAAUGCAGCUCAAAAUGGGUGGUAAAUUCCAUCUAAAGCUAAAUAUUGGCCGGAGACCGAUAGCGGACAAGUAGAGUGAUCGAAAGAUGAAAAGCACUUUGGAAAGAGAGUCAAACAGUACGUGAAAUUGUUGAAAGGGAAGCGCUUGCAAUCAGACCGGUCCGGGGGUGAUCAGCCGCUGCUCGUCAGCUGGUGCACUCGCCCCCGAUCCGGCCAGCAUCGGUUUGGGCGGUGGGAGAAAAGCCUCGGGAAUGUAGCUUCUUUCGGGGAGUCUUAUAGCCCGGGGCGCAAUGCCGCCCGCCCGGACCGAGGACCGCGCUUCGGCUAGGAUGCUGGCGUAAUGGUUGCAAGCGACCCGUCUUGAAACACGGACCAAGGAGUCUAACAUCUAUGCGAGUGUUUGGGUGUCAAACUCAGGCGCGGAAUGAAAGUGAACGGAGGUGGGAGCCUGUCAAACGGCGCACCAUCGACCGAUCCAGAUGUCUUCGGAUGGAUUUGAGUAUGAGCAUAGCUGUUGGGACCCGAAAGAUGGUGAACUAUGCCCGGAUAGGGUGAAGCCAGAGGAAACUCUGGUGGAGGCUCGCAGCGGUUCUGACGUGCAAAUCGAUCGUCAAAUCUAGGCAUAGGGGCGAAAGACCC